RNAcentral lists this ribosomal RNA (1014 nucleotides) under uncultured bacterium. RNAcentral describes it as "bacterial SSU rRNA". It matches the Rfam family "Bacterial small subunit ribosomal RNA", at positions 338 to 1378 of the family's 1533-position model. The record is from RNAcentral.
CCUACGGGAGGCAGCAGUAGGGAUCUGCGCAUGGCGAAGCUGACGCAGCGACGCGCGUGAGGAUGAAUGCUCGGGUGUAAACUCUUUCAGCAGGACGAGCCCUUUGGGUGACGUACUGCAGAAGAAGCCCGGCCAACUACGUGCCAGCAGCCGCGGUAAUACGUAGGGGGCAAGCGUGUCCGGAUUUAUUGGGCGUAAAGAGCUCGUAGGCGGCUGGUCACGUCGGGUGUGAAAGCUCAGAGCUCAACUCUGAGAGGCCAUUCGAUACGGAUCAGCUAGAGGUAGGUAGGGGAAAGUGGAAUUCCUGGUGUAGCGGUGAAAUGCGCAGAUAUCAGGAGGAACACCGGUGGCGAAGGCGGCUUUCUGGGCCUUACCUGACGCUGAGGAGCGAAAGCUGGGGGAGCGAACAGGAUUAGAUACCCUGGUAGUCCCAGCCGUAAACGUUGAGUGCUAGGUGUGGGGAGGUCUUCAACCCUCUCUGUGCCGCAGCUAACGCAUUAAGCACUCCGCCCGGGGAGUACGGCCGCAAGGCUAAAACUCAAAGGAAUUGACGGGGACCCGCACAAGCGGCGGAGCAUGUGGCUUAAUUCGAUGCAACGCGGAGAACCUUACCUGGGCUUGACAUGCUGGUUAAACCCUGUGAAAGCAGGGCUCCGUAAGGGGCCAGCACAGGUGCUGCAUGGCUGUCGUCAGCUCGUGCCGUGAGGUGUUGGCUUAAGUGCCGCAACGAGCGCAACCCCUGUCCUUAGUUGCCAGCGGGUAAUGCCGGGGACUCUAAGGAGACUGCCGGGGACAACUCGGAGGAAGGUGGGGAUGACGUCAAGUCAGCAUGGCCCUUAUGUCCAGGGCUGCACACAUGCUACAUUGCGCGCCACAGAGGGCUGCGAUCCCGCGAGGGGGAGCGAAUCCCAAAAAAGCGCGCCUGGUUCGGAUUGCAGUCUGCAACUCGACUGCAUGAAGUCGGAGUCGCUAGUAAUCGCAGAUCAGCAACGCCGCGGUGAAUACGUUCCCGGG